RNAcentral lists this ribosomal RNA (253 nucleotides) under uncultured bacterium. RNAcentral describes it as "partial 16S ribosomal RNA". It matches the Rfam family "Bacterial small subunit ribosomal RNA", at positions 524 to 776 of the family's 1533-position model. The record is from RNAcentral.
UACAGAGGUGGCAAGCGUUGUUCGGAAUUACUGGGCGUAAAGGGCGCGUAGGCGGCCAUCUAAGUCAGACGUGAAAUCCCCCGGCUUAACCUGGGAACUGCGUCUGAUACUGGACGGCUCGAGUUUGGGAGAGGGAUGUGGAAUUCCAGGUGUAGCGGUGAAAUGCGUAGAUAUCUGGAGGAACACCGGUGGCGAAGGCGGCACGCUGGACCAACACUGACGCUGAGGCGCGAAAGCCAGGGGAGCGAACGGG